UGAGGAAUAUUGGGCAAUGGGCGAGAGCCUGACCCAGCAACGCCGCGUGAAGGAAGAAGGCCUUCGGGUUGUAAACUUCUUUUGACAGGGAAGAGAGAGGACGGUACCUGUCGAAUAAGUCACGGCUAACUACGUGCCAGCAGCCGCGGUAAUACGUAGGUGACAAGCGUUAUCCGGAAUUACUGGGCGUAAAGCGCACGCAGGCGGCAGCUUAAGUCUGACGUGAAAUCUCCUGGCUUAACUGGGAGAGGUCGUUGGAAACUGGGCAGCUUGAGGUGGUGAGAGGGGUGCAGAAUUCCCGGUGUAGUGGUGGAAUGCGUAGAUAUCGGGAGGAAUACCAGUGGCGAAAGCGGCACCCUGGCACUGACCUGACGCUCAUGUGCGAAAGCGUGGGGAGCAAACG
Molecule: ribosomal RNA, 403 nt
Filed under: uncultured prokaryote
Description: bacterial SSU rRNA
Rfam family: Bacterial small subunit ribosomal RNA
Source: RNAcentral